UACGAAAGGUGCGAGCGUUAAUCGGAAUUACUGGGCGUAAAGCGCGCGGAGGCGGCUUGUUAAGUCGGAUGUGAAAGCCCCGGGCUCAACCUGGGAAUUGCACCCGAUACUGGAAGGCUAGAGUGCAGUAGAGGGAGGUGGAAUUUCGGGUGUAGCGGUGAAAUGCGUAGAGAUCGGAAAGAACACCAGUGGCGAAGGCGGUCUCCUGGACUGACACUGACGCUGAGGUGCGAAAGCGUGGGUAGCAAACAGG
This 253-nucleotide unclassified non-coding RNA is filed under the name uncultured Alcanivoracaceae bacterium. RNAcentral describes it as "contains 16S-23S intergenic spacer region". It matches the Rfam family "Bacterial small subunit ribosomal RNA", at positions 524 to 776 of the family's 1533-position model. The record is from RNAcentral. Lineage: Bacteria; Pseudomonadati; Pseudomonadota; Gammaproteobacteria; Oceanospirillales; Alcanivoracaceae.